RNAcentral lists this unclassified non-coding RNA (200 nucleotides) under soil metagenome. RNAcentral's name for it is "partial contains internal transcribed spacer 2 and large subunit ribosomal RNA". The record is from RNAcentral.
AUUUUGCUGGCUUCUCAGAUAGUCAGCUCCCCUUAAAUGCAUUAGCCGGUGCCCCGCGUGGACUGUCUAUUGGUGUGAUAAUUAUCUACGCUAUAGACAUCUGCAAUUAUAUGGGUUUGCACUGCUUCUAACAGUCUGUUAAUUCAGACAAUACAUGACAAUUUGACCUCAAAUCAGGUAGGACUACCCGCUGAACUUAA